GUGAGGUGCAAACGUUACCCGGAAUCAUUGGGCGUAAAGCGUCCGCAGGCGGCGUAGCAAGUCAGAUGCUAAAUCUUGAGGCUCAACUUCAAGCUCGUAUCUGAAACUGCUAUGCUAGAGAAUUGGAGAGGCGAGUGGAAUUCUAUAUGUAGGGGUAAAAUCCGUAGAUAUAUAGAGGAACACCAAAAGCGAAGGCAGCUCGCUGGCCAAUUUCUGACGCUCAUGGGACGAAAGCGUGGGGAGCAAACGGGAUUAGAUACCCCGGUAGUCCACGCCCGUAAACGAUGAUCACUCGAUGUUGGGAGUUCGACCCUCUCAGUGUCUAAGCUAACGCGAUAAGUGAUCCGCCUGGGGAGUACGGCCGCAAGGCUA
This 372-nucleotide ribosomal RNA is filed under the name uncultured organism. Its description in RNAcentral is "partial 16S ribosomal RNA". It matches the Rfam family "Bacterial small subunit ribosomal RNA", at positions 527 to 896 of the family's 1533-position model. The record is from RNAcentral.